RNAcentral lists this ribosomal RNA (274 nucleotides) under uncultured bacterium. RNAcentral describes it as "partial 16S ribosomal RNA". It matches the Rfam family "Bacterial small subunit ribosomal RNA", at positions 523 to 796 of the family's 1533-position model. The record is from RNAcentral.
AUACGGAGGGUCCGAGCGUUAUCCGGAAUCAUUGGGUUUAAAGGGUCCGUAGGCGGGAAUCUAAGUCAGUGGUGAAAUCUUGCAGCUCAACUGUAAAAUUGCCAUUGAUACUGGAUUUCUUGAAUUAGUGUGAAGUGGUUAGAAUGUGUAGUGUAGCGGUGAAAUGCAUAGAUAUUACACAGAAUACCAAUUGCGAAGGCAGAUCACUAACACUAUAUUGACGCUAAGGGACGAAAGCGUGGGGAGCGAACAGGAUUAGAAACCCUGGUAGUCC